CAGCCGCCGGGGAAUACGUAGGGUGCGAGCGUUAAUCGGAAUUACUGGGCGUAAAGCGCACGCAGGCGGUUUGUUAAGUCAGAUGUGAAAUCCCCGAGCUUAACUUGGGAACUGCAUUUGAAACUGGCAAGCUAGAGUCUUGUAGAGGGGGGUAGAAUUCCAGGUGUAGCGGUGAAAUGCGUAGAGAUCUGGAGGAAUACCGGUGGCGAAGGCGGCCCCCUGGACAAAGACUGACGCUCAGGUGCGAAAGCGUGGGGAGCAAACAGGAUUAGAUACCCCUGUAGUCCCUGUCUCUUAUACA
This 301-nucleotide ribosomal RNA is filed under the name uncultured bacterium. RNAcentral describes it as "partial 16S ribosomal RNA". It matches the Rfam family "Bacterial small subunit ribosomal RNA", at positions 512 to 808 of the family's 1533-position model. The record is from RNAcentral.